GGGCUAAACCAUGCACCGAAGCUGCGGCAGCGACACUGUGUGUUGUUGGGUAGGGGAGCGUUCUGUAAGCCUGCGAAGGUGGCCUGUGAGGGUUGCUGGAGGUAUCAGAAGUGCGAAUGCUGACAUAAGUAACGAUAAAGCGGGUGAAAAGCCCGCUCGCCGGAAGACCAAGGGUUCCUGUCCAACGUUAAUCGGGGCAGGGUGAGUCGACCCCUAAGGCGAGGCCGAAAGGCGUAGUCGAUGGGAAACGGGUUAAUAUUCCCGUACUUGGUGUUACUGCGAAGGGGGGACGGAGAAGGCUAUGUUGGCCGGGCGACGGUUGUCCCGGUUUAAGCGUGUAGGUGUGUGUUCCAGGUAAAUCCGGUUCACUUUAACACUGAGGCGUGACGACGAGGCACUACGGUGCUGAAGCAACAAAUGCCCUGCUUCCAGGAAAAGCCUCUAAGCAUCAGGUAACAUCAAAUCGUACCCCAAACCGACACAGGUGGUCAGGUAGAGAAUACCAAGGCGCUUGAGAGAACUCGGGUGAAGGAACUAGGCAAAAUGGUGCCGUAACUUCGGGAGAAGGCACGCUGACACGUAGGUGAAGUGAUUUACUCAUGGAGCUGAAGUCAGUCGAAGAUACCAGCUGGCUGCAACUGUUUAUUAAAAACACAGCACUGUGCAAACACGAAAGUGGACGUAUACGGUGUGACGCCUGCCCGGUGCCGGAAGGUUAAUUGAUGGGGUCAGCGCAAGCGAAGCUCCUGAUCGAAGCCCCGGUAAACGGCGGCCGUAACUAUAACGGUCCUAAGGUAGCGAAAUUCCUUGUCGGGUAAGUUCCGACCUGCACGAAUGGCGUAAUGAUGGCCAGGCUGUCUCCACCCGAGACUCAGUGAAAUUGAACUCGCUGUGAAGAUGCAGUGUACCCGCGGCAAGACGGAAAGACCCCGUGAACCUUUACUAUAGCUUGACACUGAACAUUGAGCCUUGAUGUGUAGGAUAGGUGGGAGGCUUUGAAGUGUGGACGCCAGUCUGCAUGGAGCCGACCUUGAAAUACCACCCUUUAAUGUUUGAUGUUCUAACGUGGACCCGUUACCCGGGUUGCGGACAGUGUCUGGUGGGUAGUUUGACUGGGGCGGUCUCCUCCUAAAGAGUAACGGAGGAGCACGAAGGUUGGCUAAUCCUGGUCGGACAUCAGGAGGUUAGUGCAAUGGCAUAAGCCAGCUUGACUGCGAGCGUGACGGCGCGAGCAGGUGCGAAAGCAGGUCAUAGUGAUCCGGUGGUUCUGAAUGGAAGGGCCAUCGCUCAACGGAUAAAAGGUACUCCGGGGAUAACAGGCUGAUACCGCCCAAGAGUUCAUAUCGACGGCGGUGUUUGGCACCUCGAUGUCGGCUCAUCACAUCCUGGGGCUGAAGUAGGUCCCAAGGGUAUGGCUGUUCGCCAUUUAAAGUGGUACGCGAGCUGGGUUUAGAACGUCGUGAGACAGUUCGGUCCCUAUCUGCCGUGGGCGCUGGAGAACUGAGGGGGGCUGCUCCUAGUACGAGAGGACCGGAGUGGACGCAUCACUGGUGUUCGGGUUGUCAUGCCAAUGGCACUGCCCGGUAGCUAAAUGCGGAAGAGAUAAGUGCUGAAAGCAUCUAAGCACGAAACUUGCCCCGA
This 1641-nucleotide ribosomal RNA is filed under the name Salmonella enterica subsp. enterica serovar Enteritidis. RNAcentral's name for it is "partial 23S ribosomal RNA". It matches the Rfam family "Bacterial large subunit ribosomal RNA", at positions 1178 to 2802 of the family's 2925-position model. Lineage: Bacteria; Pseudomonadati; Pseudomonadota; Gammaproteobacteria; Enterobacterales; Enterobacteriaceae. The record is from RNAcentral.